This 2329-nucleotide ribosomal RNA is filed under the name Klebsiella pneumoniae BIDMC 41. RNAcentral describes it as "bacterial LSU rRNA". It matches the Rfam family "Bacterial large subunit ribosomal RNA", at positions 616 to 2925 of the family's 2925-position model. The record is from RNAcentral. Lineage: Bacteria; Pseudomonadati; Pseudomonadota; Gammaproteobacteria; Enterobacterales; Enterobacteriaceae.
UGGGUCAGCGACUUAUAUUCUGUAGCAAGGUUAACCGUAUAGGGGAGCCGCAGGGAAACCGAGUCUUAACUGGGCGUUAAGUUGCAGGGUAUAGACCCGAAACCCGGUGAUCUAGCCAUGGGCAGGUUGAAGGUUGGGUAACACUAACUGGAGGACCGAACCGACUAAUGUUGAAAAAUUAGCGGAUGACUUGUGGCUGGGGGUGAAAGGCCAAUCAAACCGGGAGAUAGCUGGUUCUCCCCGAAAGCUAUUUAGGUAGCGCCUCGUGAACUCAUCUUCGGGGGUAGAGCACUGUUUCGGCUAGGGGGUCAUCCCGACUUACCAACCCGAUGCAAACUACGAAUACCGAAGAAUGUUAUCACGGGAGACACACGGCGGGUGCUAACGUCCGUCGUGAAGAGGGAAACAACCCAGACCGCCAGCUAAGGUCCCAAAGUCAUGGUUAAGUGGGAAACGAUGUGGGAAGGCACAGACAGCCAGGAUGUUGGCUUAGAAGCAGCCAUCAUUUAAAGAAAGCGUAAUAGCUCACUGGUCGAGUCGGCCUGCGCGGAAGAUGUAACGGGGCUAAACCAUGCACCGAAGCUGCGGCAGCGACACUAUGUGUUGUUGGGUAGGGGAGCGUUCUGUAAGCCUGCGAAGGUGACCUGUGAGGGUUGCUGGAGGUAUCAGAAGUGCGAAUGCUGACAUAAGUAACGAUAAAGCGGGUGAAAAGCCCGCUCGCCGGAAGACCAAGGGUUCCUGUCCAACGUUAAUCGGGGCAGGGUGAGUCGACCCCUAAGGCGAGGCCGAAAGGCGUAGUCGAUGGGAAACAGGUUAAUAUUCCUGUACUUGGUGUUACUGCGAAGGGGGGACGGAGAAGGCUAUGUUAGCCGGGCGACGGUUGUCCCGGUUUAAGCAUGUAGGCUGGUUAUCCAGGCAAAUCCGGAUAAUCAAGGCUGAGGUGUGAUGACGAGGCACUACGGUGCUGAAGUAACAAAUGCCCUGCUUCCAGGAAAAGCCUCUAAGCAUCAGGUAACAUCAAAUCGUACCCCAAACCGACACAGGUGGUCAGGUAGAGAAUACCAAGGCGCUUGAGAGAACUCGGGUGAAGGAACUAGGCAAAAUGGUGCCGUAACUUCGGGAGAAGGCACGCUGGUGUGUAGGUGAAGCCCCUGCGGGUGGAGCUGAGACCAGUCGAAGAUACCAGCUGGCUGCAACUGUUUAUUAAAAACACAGCACUGUGCAAACACGAAAGUGGACGUAUACGGUGUGACGCCUGCCCGGUGCCGGAAGGUUAAUUGAUGGGGUUAUCCGUAAGGAGAAGCUCUUGAUCGAAGCCCCGGUAAACGGCGGCCGUAACUAUAACGGUCCUAAGGUAGCGAAAUUCCUUGUCGGGUAAGUUCCGACCUGCACGAAUGGCGUAAUGAUGGCCAGGCUGUCUCCACCCGAGACUCAGUGAAAUUGAACUCGCUGUGAAGAUGCAGUGUACCCGCGGCAAGACGGAAAGACCCCGUGAACCUUUACUAUAGCUUGACACUGAACAUUGAGCCUUGAUGUGUAGGAUAGGUGGGAGGCUUUGAAGCGUGGACGCCAGUCUGCGUGGAGCCAACCUUGAAAUACCACCCUUUAAUGUUUGAUGUUCUAACGUUGGCCCCUGACCGGGGUUGCGGACAGUGUCUGGUGGGUAGUUUGACUGGGGCGGUCUCCUCCCAAAGCGUAACGGAGGAGCACGAAGGUUAGCUAAUCCUGGUCGGACAUCAGGAGGUUAGUGCAAUGGCAUAAGCUAGCUUGACUGCGAGCGUGACGGCGCGAGCAGGUGCGAAAGCAGGUCAUAGUGAUCCGGUGGUUCUGAAUGGAAGGGCCAUCGCUCAACGGAUAAAAGGUACUCCGGGGAUAACAGGCUGAUACCGCCCAAGAGUUCAUAUCGACGGCGGUGUUUGGCACCUCGAUGUCGGCUCAUCACAUCCUGGGGCUGAAGUAGGUCCCAAGGGUAUGGCUGUUCGCCAUUUAAAGUGGUACGCGAGCUGGGUUUAGAACGUCGUGAGACAGUUCGGUCCCUAUCUGCCGUGGGCGCUGGAGAAUUGAGGGGGGCUGCUCCUAGUACGAGAGGACCGGAGUGGACGCAUCACUGGUGUUCGGGUUGUCAUGCCAAUGGCACUGCCCGGUAGCUAAAUGCGGAAGAGAUAAGUGCUGAAAGCAUCUAAGCACGAAACUUGCCCCGAGAUGAGUUCUCCCUGAGACUUUAAGUCUCCUGAAGGAACGUUGAAGACGACGACGUUGAUAGGCCGGGUGUGUAAGCGCAGCGAUGCGUUGAGCUAACCGGUACUAAUGAACCGUGAGGCUUAACCUU